Molecule: ribosomal RNA, 263 nt
Filed under: uncultured bacterium
Lineage: Bacteria
Description: partial 16S ribosomal RNA
Rfam family: Bacterial small subunit ribosomal RNA
Source: RNAcentral
UACGUAGGGUGCAAGCGUUAAUCGGAAUUACUGGGCGUAAAGCGUGCGCAGGCGGUUUGUAAGUUUGUCGUGAAAUCCCCGGGCUCAACCUGGGAAUGGCGAUGAAGACUGCAAGGCUAGAAUCUGGCAGAGGGGGGUAGAAUUCCACGUGUAGCAGUGAAAUGCGUAGAGAUGUGGAGGAACACCGAUGGCGAAGGCAGCCCCCUGGGUCAAGAUUGACGCUCAUGCACGAAAGCGUGGGAGCAACGAGAUAGAUACCUAAG